Molecule: non-coding RNA, 70 nt
Filed under: Schistosoma mansoni
Lineage: Eukaryota; Metazoa; Platyhelminthes; Trematoda; Strigeidida; Schistosomatidae
Source: RNAcentral
UCGAUAACUCUGCCCGUAGCCUUACCAGGGUUACAGUCGGUCCCGAGCCCGGGUAAAUGAGGAGGGUUGG